RNAcentral lists this ribosomal RNA (404 nucleotides) under uncultured bacterium. RNAcentral's name for it is "bacterial SSU rRNA". It matches the Rfam family "Bacterial small subunit ribosomal RNA", at positions 32 to 448 of the family's 1533-position model. The record is from RNAcentral.
AACGCUGGCGGCGCGCCUAACACAUGCAAGUCGAACGAGAAAGCAGGAGCAAUCUUGUGAGUAAAGUGGCGUACGGGUGAGUAACACGUGGAUCAUCUACCCUCUUGUGGGGGAUAACUCUGGGAAACCGGAGCUAAUACCGCAUAAGUCCGAGAGGAGAAAGCAGCAAUGCGCAGGAGGAGGAGUCCGCGGCCGAUUAGCUAGUUGGUAGGGUAAAAGCCUACCAAGGCUACGAUCGGUAGCCGGCCUGAGAGGGCACACGGCCACACUGGCACUGAAACACGGGCCAGACUCCUACGGGAGGCAGCAGUGGGGAAUCUUGCACAAUGGGGGCAACCCUGAUGCAGCGACGCCGCGUGAGCGAUGAAGCCCUUCGGGGUGUAAAGCUCUUUCGGCAGGGAAGA